GGAGCGCGGAGGCAUCCCGUCGCAGUCGCUGCUCCCGCUGCUGUACCUGGUCAGGUGACAUUCACCAUCUCCGUUUUCUUCUGCCAUCAUUUUGUCAUCAUCACAGCCAUCACCAUCAGCAUCCUAUCUUCCUCCGUCAGAACUCUCUAGUUCUCCAAAGGCUGACUGUUUCUCCUCUAUGCAGCCUCAUUUCGGGAAAGGACUGUCAGCUGCCUUCUCUGCCUAGCCACCAUCACAUGCCUCCCCACUGGAGCUGACCACAGACCAGCAUCUCCACAGCAUGAAUAAUUAGGUAGGCAUAAUGGAAGGCACUCACUGCACCCUCCAGCUGCAUAACCCCAUCGCUGAACUCUGCUAUAUCAGCUUCUAUCUUCCUAAAGGGGAAGUC
Molecule: long non-coding RNA, 388 nt
Filed under: Rattus norvegicus (Norway rat)
Lineage: Eukaryota; Metazoa; Chordata; Mammalia; Rodentia; Muridae
Description: long non-coding RNA NONRATT018449
Source: RNAcentral